AGCGGUGGGGGCGUGGUUUGGGCUCGAGCAGGCACCCAGAGCUCCAGGAGCCGCUCCGGCAACGGCCUGCACCUAACAGUCCUUGGGGAUCCCCAGGCUGGUGAGCGGGCUGUGACAGCCCCGACUGCCUCGCCAUGUGGGGCCCACUGGUCCUGAUGCUGCUGCUGCUCUCGUUCAGCCCCGUCCCCCCCGCCACUGCUGCUCCCAUCCCCCAUGCCAGCGCCCAGGACUCGCAGAACCUGCCCCAAGGGGCCAAAGGAGGCGACGGGGAGCCGUGGGCGGCGGGAAAGCCGGCCCCGCACUCGGGCUGCCCUCCGUCCUGAGGCGGCCGCGGGGCCCUGCCGCCCCGAAGCCCAGGGCCGGCCCGCGGCUCCCGGAGAAGCGUCCGUGGCUCCCGGCCAUCCGCCACCGGCUCCGCAGGGUCCGCGAGGCCGGGGGACCUGGGGCCUCCCGCGUCCCAAAGAGCCCGCCCCCAAGACCCGCCUCUCCCGCCCCGGGC
This is a long non-coding RNA of Eptesicus fuscus (big brown bat), 499 nucleotides long. RefSeq lists it as uncharacterized. The record is from RefSeq and is a predicted model, not a curated record. Lineage: Eukaryota; Metazoa; Chordata; Mammalia; Chiroptera; Vespertilionidae. The transcript is spliced from 3 exons.